UACAGAGGUCUCAAGCGUUGUUCGGAUUCAUUGGGCGUAAAGGGUGCGUAGGUGGCGCUGUAAGUCGGGUGUGAAAUUUCGGAGCUUAACUCCGAAACUGCAUUCGAUACUGCGGUGCUUGAGGACUGGAGAGGAGACUGGAAUUCAUGGUGUAGCAGUGAAAUGCGUAGAGAUCAUGUGGAAGACCAGUGGCGAAGGCGGGUCUCUGGACAGUUCCUGACACUGAGGCACGAAGGCCAGGGGAGCAAACGGG
Molecule: ribosomal RNA, 253 nt
Filed under: uncultured bacterium
Lineage: Bacteria
Description: partial 16S ribosomal RNA
Rfam family: Bacterial small subunit ribosomal RNA
Source: RNAcentral